GACGAACGCUGGCGGCGUGCUUAACACAUGCAAGUCGAACGGUGAAGCGCCUUCCUUUUUGGUGGGUGUGGAUGAGUGGCGAACGGGUGAGUAACACGUGAGUAACCUGCCCCCUUCUUCUGGAUAACCGCAUGAAAGUGUGGCUAAUACGGGAUAUUCUGGGUCUGUCGCAUGAUGGGUCUGGGAAAGAUAUUGUUUCGGUGGGGGAUGGGCUCGCGGCCUAUCAGCUUGUUGGUGGGGUGAUGGCCUACCAAGGCGGUGACGGGUAGCCGGCCUGAGAGGGUGGACGGUCACACUGGGACAGCGACACGGCCCAGACUCCUACGGGGGGCAGCAGUGGGGAAUAUUGAACAAUGGGCGAAAGCCUGAUGCAGCGACGCCGCGUGAGGGAUGGAGGCCUUCGGGUUGUGAACCUCUUUCGCCAGUGAAGCAGGCCUGCCUCGUUUGUGGGUGGGUUGACGGUAGCUGGAUAAGAAGCGCCGGCUAACUACGUG
This 494-nucleotide ribosomal RNA is filed under the name uncultured bacterium. Its description in RNAcentral is "partial 16S ribosomal RNA". It matches the Rfam family "Bacterial small subunit ribosomal RNA", at positions 28 to 507 of the family's 1533-position model. The record is from RNAcentral.